Molecule: ribosomal RNA, 254 nt
Filed under: uncultured bacterium
Lineage: Bacteria
Description: partial 16S ribosomal RNA
Rfam family: Bacterial small subunit ribosomal RNA
Source: RNAcentral
GACAGAGGCCCCAAGCGUUAGGCGGAAUCACUGGGCUUAAAGCGUGUGUAGGCGGAUCGUUAAGUGUCUUGUGAAAUCCCACGGCUCACCCGUGGAACGGCUGGGCAUACUGGCGAUCUUGGGCCAACUAGGGGCAGUCGGAACAAGCGGUGGAGCGGUGAAAUGCGUAGAUAUCGCUUGGAACGCCGAAGGUGAAAAACAGACUGCUGGGGUUGCGCCGACGCUGAGACACGAAAGCCAGGGGAGCAAACGGG